AUUGUACGCUGGCUGCAUGCCUUACACAUGCAAGUCGAACGGCAGCACGGGUGCUUGCACCUGGUGGCGAGUGGCGAACGGGUGAGUAAUACAUCGGAACAUGUCCUGUAGUGGGGGAUAGCCCGGCGAAAGCCGGAUUAAUACCGCAUACGAUCUACGGAUGAAAGCGGGGGACCUUCGUGCCUCGCGCUAUAGGGUUGGCCGAUGGCUGAUUAGCUAGUUGGUGGGGUAAAGGCCUACCAAGGCGACGAUCAGUAGCUGGUCUGAGAGGACGACCAGCCACACUGGGACUGAGACACGGCCCAGACUCCUACGGGAGGCAGCAGUGGGGAAUUUUGGACAAUGGGCGAAAGCCUGAUCCAGCAAUGCCGCGUGUGUGAAGAAGGCCUUCGGGUUGUAAAGCACUUUUGUCCGGAAAGAAAUCCUUGGCCCUAAUACGGUCGGGGGAUGACGGUACCGGAAGAAUAAGCACCGGCUAACUACGUG
Molecule: ribosomal RNA, 486 nt
Filed under: uncultured bacterium
Lineage: Bacteria
Description: partial 16S ribosomal RNA
Rfam family: Bacterial small subunit ribosomal RNA
Source: RNAcentral